Lagenorhynchus albirostris (white-beaked dolphin) is the source of this 425-nucleotide long non-coding RNA. RefSeq lists it as uncharacterized. The record is from RefSeq and is a predicted model, not a curated record. The transcript is spliced from 3 exons. NCBI's taxonomy places the organism in Eukaryota, Metazoa, Chordata, Mammalia, Artiodactyla, Delphinidae.
AGCUGUGGCCGCACUCUGUGAUUACGGGUCUCGGCAGUACUGGAAGCAGAUGCAGCAGUGACUUCUUCCUUGGGUGGCGAGUGGAUCAGCAGCGGCCAUGGCAGGGGACGUCCUGGUUAAGAGGUGGGAAAGGCCUCAGGGUUGGCCACUCAGAAGCACAGCUCAACCAAAGAGAAGAGUCCUGACUGGGAUGAAGAGAAACGCUGUUGUCAGGCCUGCAGGCUGGAGCAGGGAGAGACCACUACCCCUGAGUCAUUAAUAUCCUCAUCCUUUCUUUUAACCAAGGUGUAUCUAUAUACAUAGAAAAAAAAGACUGGGGGAAAUACCAGAUGUGCAUGAUGGCUCACUGUAGGUGAUUUGAAUUUUUUUUCUUUUAAUACUCAAAUGUAUUUUUCAAAAUUUCCACAAAAAAUAUGUUCCUUUAA